Molecule: ribosomal RNA, 252 nt
Filed under: uncultured bacterium
Lineage: Bacteria
Description: partial 16S ribosomal RNA
Rfam family: Bacterial small subunit ribosomal RNA
Source: RNAcentral
UACGUAGGGUGCGAGCGUUAAUCGGAAUUACUGGGCGUAAAGCGUGCGCAGGCGGUUUUGUAAGACAGGCGUGAAAUCCCCGGGCUCAACCUGGGAAUGGCGCUUGUGACUGCAAGCUGGAGUGCGGCAGAGGGGGAUGGAAUUCCGCGUGUAGCAGUGAAAUGCGUAGAUAUGCGGAGGAACACCGAUGGCGAAGGCAAUCCCCUGGGCCUGCACUGACGCUCAUGCACGAAAGCGUGGGGAGCAAACAGG